This 496-nucleotide ribosomal RNA is filed under the name uncultured bacterium. RNAcentral describes it as "partial 16S ribosomal RNA". It matches the Rfam family "Bacterial small subunit ribosomal RNA", at positions 29 to 507 of the family's 1533-position model. The record is from RNAcentral.
AUGAACGCUGGCGGCGUGCCUAAUCCCUGCCAGUCGAGCGAACAGACGAGGAGCUUGCUCCUCUGACGUUAGCGGCGGACGGGUGAGUAACACGUGGAUAACCUACCUAUAAGACUGGGAUAACUUCGGGAAACCGGAGCUAAUACCGGAUAAUAUAUUGAACCGCCUGGUUCAAUAGUGAAAGACGGUUUUGCUGUCACUUAUAGAUGGAUCCGCGCCGCAUUAGCUAGUUGGUAAGGUAACGGCUUACCAAGGCAACGAUGCGUAGCCGACCCGAGAGGGUGAUCGGCCACACUGGAACUGAGACACGGUCCAGACUCCUACGGGAGGCAGCAGUAGGGAAUCUUCCGCAAUGGGCGAAAGCCUGACGGAGCAACGCCGCGUGAGUGAUGAAGGUCUUCGGAUCGUAAAACUCUGUUAUUAGGGAAGAACAAAUGUGUAAGUAACUAUGCACGUCUUGACGGUACCUAAUCAGAAAGCCACGGCUAACUACGUG